AGUGAACGCUGGCGGCAGGCCUAACACAUGCAAGUCGAGCGGCAGCGGGUCCUUCGGGAUGCCGGCGAGCGGCGGACGGGUGAGGAAUGCGUCGGAAUCUGCCUUUUUGUGGGGGAUAACGUAGGGAAACUUACGCUAAUACCGCAUACGACCUACGGGUGAAAGUGGGGGACCGCAAGGCCUCACGCAGAAAGAUGAGCCGACGUCGGAUUAGCUAGUUGGCGGGGUAAAGGCCCACCAAGGCGGCGAUCCGUAGCUGGUCUGAGAGGAUGAUCAGCCACACUGGAACUGAGACACGGUCCAGACUCCUACGGGAGGCAGCAGUGGGGAAUAUUGGACAAUGGGCGCAAGCCUGAUCCAGCCAUGCCGCGUGUGUGAAGAAGGCCUUCGGGUUGUAAAGCACUUUUGUCCGGAAAGAAAUCCUGUCGGCUAAUACCCGGCGGGGAUGACGGUACCGGAAGAAUAAGCACCGGCUAACUUCGUG
RNAcentral lists this ribosomal RNA (484 nucleotides) under uncultured bacterium. RNAcentral describes it as "partial 16S ribosomal RNA". It matches the Rfam family "Bacterial small subunit ribosomal RNA", at positions 29 to 507 of the family's 1533-position model. The record is from RNAcentral.